This 440-nucleotide ribosomal RNA is filed under the name uncultured bacterium. RNAcentral describes it as "partial 16S ribosomal RNA". It matches the Rfam family "Bacterial small subunit ribosomal RNA", at positions 338 to 795 of the family's 1533-position model. The record is from RNAcentral.
CCUACGGGGUGCAGCAGUGGGGGAUAUUGCACAAUGGGGGAAACCCUGAUGCAGCGACGCCGCGUGUGGGAAGACGGUCCUCUGGAUUGUAAACCACUGUCCCCAGGGACGAAGAUGACGGUACCUGGGGAGGAAGCUCCGGCUAACUACGUGCCAGCAGCCGCGGUAAUACGUAGGGAGCGAGCGUUGUCCGGAAUUACUGGGUGAAAAGGGAGCGUAGGCGGGACUGCAAGUUGGGUGUCAAAUCUACCGGCUCAACCGGUAGCCGCACUCAAAACUGCAGUUCUUGAGUGAAGUAGAGGCAGGCGGAAUUCCUAGUGUAGCGGUGAAAUGCGUAGAUAUUAGGAGGAACACCAGUGGCGAAGGCGGCCUGCUGGGCUUUGACUGACGCUGAGGCUCGAAAGUGUGGGGAGCAAACAGGAUUAGAUACCCCAGUAGUC